UUUAAAUUAAUAACUGAAAUCUAUUCUUUUUUUCUCUAGUCAUCUUUUAUAUGGUAGCUGGCUACUUUGUAUCACAAAUAUCUGGAAGAUAAAUUUUCAGAGCAUGAAACGUUCCUUUCAUCCUCUAUCCAUGCUGAAGAUCAUACAUCCAGGUCAAUGUUAACAUAAUAAUCUGUAUGUACAGUCAGGGAAGCAAUCAGAAGGAACUACCUGCCUAUCAGGAAGAGAUAUGUGGAAUUUUCCUUGAAAUUUGUGCAUGGUGAAGGGUUUCAACUAUGCAGGCUGCACACUGAGGUUCAGUCCCUGUGUUCUUGCCUUUUCUGAAUCACACUGAGUACUGCCCAAGCCUGAUGUGCUGUGUUGUUUGCCUGUUAGCCAUCCUUUGAGGCAACAUCUGAACCAAGUUACUUCACUGAGAGCUUGGUAUUGCUCUCAGUAGGUACCAGCACCAGUAGAAGGGCACAGAGCUGCCUACAUGGCAGGGGCACAGCAUCUCUUUUCAGAAGAAAACAUCUUUUUCCAGCUGCAACAGCUACAAAUUUGCCAAUCUCAGGAGAAGCGAGGUUUAUAUCCCUUCCUAACUUAAAACAAAUCCUGUUUAACUGAGUUUAAAGCACACUUACUGCCAGUAUAAAUGCAUGAUCUUUUUCAAAUCCUACUAAAUCACUGGUCUCAGUGAAUUUUCUGGCAAGGAAAAAGCCAACGGAAACAUAGUGCAGAUUAGGAUGUGAAAGAAUGGUCUCAUGGACCAGGCAAUAGAGACAGGAGUGCAUUAAAAGGUCCAGUUCCUCUCUCUGUCUGGUUUGGGAAUCCUCCUAUUCCAGGAUGGUAGAGGGGAAGCGAUUGAGAUAUAGUUAGAUGCCUCAGACUUAUCUGUUGUCUGUAGACAGAUAUUUUGUUCUACAUGGCCCAAUUCCAGACAAAUAAAAUAUUUUUCUUCAGCUUGAUAACCCCAUAUGACAGGACAUCCAUGAAUAUCUGUUACUCUAAAGGGAAGUGAAGAUUAGAGGGCUCAGCCAUAUGCAAAUGUAUGUGUGCAGAGGAAGUUUUUAACGCCAGCUCUUUGUCUGUUUAAGUCAGCAUGGCAUCACUGACUUCAAGAAAAUCAUGCCAAUUUACCAUAGCUAAGGGUUCAUUAUCUAGUGCCAUAUUGAAAUGAAUUUUUCCACCCACAACUCAGGUGUCUAGGUCACCUAUCAAACUAGGAAAAAGGAAUGUCUUCCUCUUAAAGGGUGGCUCUGAAUGUAAACCUGACCUUGCUGCGCCAAACUUUUGCGCAAUGGAUCCUAUUCCUGUCCCUUUGUCAGAUCUGAGGGGACCUACUCAACUUUGUGGGAUAUAGCAGGCACCUAAAGCCAAGGGUAUUGACUUAUCCCAUGAUGAAUGUUUUUGAGUGGAAAUUAUGUUAAAGCAUCUCUUUGGUCAAAGAACAUAAAAAUAUACAUCAGCCAAAGAGAGACCCAAUCUCAUAGCCUCUCAUCACAUGAAUAAUCAUGCUGAAACCUGCAGAGUUCUGUAAAAUGGCCUACUGGAUAAAAACCAUUAUGUUUAAUAAAAUUUACACAAGGUUUUUUUUUUUCCCAUUGAGGAAGAACAAUAGAAUACACCUAAUUCAUUUCAGUUUUAAAUAAAAGAAUGACUCAGAAGCCACAGACUGAUUAGCAAACAGGAAAUGGAGAAAGACCUCUGAGUUGUAACUUUGAGGCAAUAUUCUACUGUAAUAUCUUUGAAAAAUAAUGGAAACACACUUUAAUAUUAACGUGUCAUUGUACAGUAAAAGGAUGUAGAGAGAAAAGUGAGCACUAUCAAUGAAAUUUAUCUAAUGACAUUUUAUUGUUGUCACAGACUAGAAAUCCAGAAAUUCAGCCCACAAAAGAAAAAUAUUCCAGAAUUUCUUACUAAAUUAUGCAGUUGCAACAAUUUUAUAGAUUAUAUUAUGGAGUAAAAAAAUGUUCAUUUUCAAAUUUAAAAACUCAAUAUUCAUAACAGCUCUGUUUUGUGAGCUUGCCUUGCUGCAAGAAUGAAUUUCAGCAGUGAUCUUGUCAAACAGGAUGCGCAAUACUUUUCACUGUGCUGUUAAAACUCCCUACCACUACAACACAGACAUGUAAGAAGUGUAAGUUAGGAUCGAAUACAAAGCUUUUAAACCCUACAUUGGCUUAAGUUUAUCUUUAUUGAAAUACAACAUUUGUUUUAUAAAACAACAAUUAGUGGUCUAAUAUAAUUUAAAUUGCUGCCUCCAAAUAAGAUGCUAAAAGAAAAAUAUAUUUUCCCAUUGCGAUAGUGAAUAAAAACCAGAUCUCAAAAUAAGAACAAAUGGAAGUAUUAUCCCAUGAGAAUGAGCCUUCUGAAUCGAUCUAUUAUUUCGCAGCUUGAAAUGUGCCACUAUUGUACUUCUACUUGAUUAUGAGUCUUGUUAUCACUUCCUCCAGUUGAUCCAAAUUGAGCGCUUCUGACAUUUGCAAAGUUACUUGCAUAUUCCACUGCACAGCAGGGAAAACCUUGCUAAUGAAGAAAUAACAAGCAGAAGAAGUGAAUAAAUAUUUAGCUGAUGGUAAGGAGUUACAUUUGCUAGUAUUUAAAUGCUGAAAAAAACCCAAAACCAAACAACUCGAACCACAGUAACAUGCUUGUUCAUGUCCUCUAAAAAAGGGUGCUAGUGGUGUGUUUUUCUCUGUGCCACAGGGCACUUUCAUUUCCUGAUUCUAUUAUACACUAAGUGGGCACCUGAACCUGCCAAUGAACUUGUUCUAUUGUGUUUUUCUAUUUUUAAUCCAAAAGGAGUAAACACAUUUCUCAUCAGAUGUGUCACACACUGCUCUACAUCGGUGAGAUUUAUGAAGGUGUCACCGAGUUAUUACAGAGCCAUUCAUUUAUAAAUAGUUGUCCAUUCUUCAGGAAAUCAUAAAUGAUAGGAGUAUUGCCACCAUUUCACAAAAUCUGUAUUGUAAGAAGGAUGUCCAUUAGUGAUUAUUUUUGACUGCACUACACAGGUGUAAUUUGUUUUUUAUCCCUCUUCCCUUACUCCAAGGCUUUUUUUCUACUUUAUGAUUAUGUUCAACCAGAUUCCUGCACUGGAUGGUCAACAUUAGUAGGGCAAGGAACAUAACAACUAUUUCAGUAGUCAUCUUUACAUAAAAAAUAGCACUUAUGAAAUUUUCUCUUUAACCAGGCAGGCUUGCAGACCCUGAGUCAGCUCUCCUGUUCUGUAUAUAUUUUUUUAAUGGUCUUCAGAAGUUGAUGUAGAGGUACACUUAACAGAUGCUCUUCUUAAAACAUCUACCACAGCUGCCCAGGAGUGGAUAUGAAUGCUGCUGAGCCAUAUGACAAUGACAUCUCUUAAAAUCUCAUGUCAGAUUUCUUACUAGUGAAGAAUCUUUAAUGCAUCAUUAGUGACAUUUUAAACUAUCUUGAGAGAAAAACUUCUUUGCCAAUCAUAAGGAAAACUUGCCUGAUAGGAGAAUUGCUCCAGAGACAUGCGAAUCAAAGGCAAAUUAUAGAGAAAAAUAUAGAUAUAUUGAAGGGUUCUGGUAAAGGAAAAAAAAAGUAAAGAGAAAGAAAAAUCCAAAAAAUCAGCAUCCUCUAAAUAUACACUUCUUUCAAUUUUCAUAUGUGAUAUUAUGGCAAUGUAAUUAGGUCACAUUAAAAAAGACUGGAGCAUAUUUUCUGGCUUAUUAAUCUUUCUUUAAUGUUCAUUUGGCACAUGACACAUCCUGUCAGAUUUUUCAUUAUUGUAAUAUUUCAAAUAUAAUUUUUACAAUCACCAGUACCCAAACCCAGAAGAAAAAUAUUUGCUUAGUGUGUUUGAUGUCACUGGAUCUUGAAUAUGUCACCUGACCAUGUAAACUAAAAUGAAGAGUCACUUUCCACACUGUAGAUUUUUGUUUUGUUUUGUUUUCAGUUUUUUUUUUUGCUGUUUUUGAUUGUGUGUGUUCAUGUGCUUAAUUUGCUGUGAAUGAAUGAGAGAAAACUCAGAAAAAAAUCCAAAACCCCUUACCUUUGCAGAUAUCAUCUAAUUUCCUUUUAAAAAUAGAAUAAUGGGAUGGUUUGAAGGCUUUGAACUCUUCAAAUUUGAUUUUAAUUUGAUAUAGAGGGUAACAAUGCUAUCUUUGUCAUUCUCUUCUAUGUCCUCAGCAGAGUUAUGAUUUUGUUCUGACAGCAGGAGCUUUGUUCCACUUUUGAAGUUCUUUUUCACGCAUAUAGAACAUUGUGUUAGAAAAACAAAUGCCUUCACUCUGGCACCAACUUUAACAGCCAAGAAAUAACAUGAAAAAUCCAUGUACAGACUCCAAACAGCAAAUGGGAUUGAUUGACAUAUGUUUAAAAUAGAUCACUUUCUGCACUUUAACUGAUUUCCAUGCUCAAUCUUUGGAGUCUAAGAAGAACACAGGAGUGUAAAGUCUUCCUGGGCUCCAAAAUGAGGAUUGUGCCUGCAUGUGUGGUGUAUUAGAUGAGAACUUCCUACUCACCUUUGCAAGGGAUUACCCUUAGAUACAGAAGGAUUCUUGCUUCUUAUGCUGAGCUAUGUUUACAAACCACUGCAAAAAUAUGUGUUGGUAAAUAUACUUCAAAGCUGUAAAAGUGCUCUGUUGAUCUCUAAACUUUUAGGGGGACAGAGGUUCCACAGACUGAUAGCACAACUCAGCUCAAAAACCUAACACAGCCAAAUGAAUUUAAUGAAAGGCAAGAGGGGAAUUUUUUUAUGCUUCAUCCACUCUCCAUCAUGAAGCCAUGCUCCUCUCCACAUCUUCCCACUGCUCCUGCUUAUUGCAGAAAGUGUAGGUCUCUUUUUCUCUGCUGCAGUGCUGUGUCCCUGUGUUAUCAGUUAUUUGCUUCCCUCCAUCUCCACCUUCAUACUUAGGUGUAAAUACACAUUUUUAUUCUUCUCCCUUUCGUGCAUUUUUAUUUAUACUGAUCACCAAUAAAGUGGUUUCCCAGAUUUAUGAAUGAAAAUAUUACCUUUUCUUUGAUUGUGUCCCUCUUAAAACACCCAUCUCCAGCCCUAUCUACCAGAGCUGUUAUUCAUCCACUGAAAAAACAAAUCAGACAAUUCUGAUGGAAAUGUGCAGUCACAUUUCAGCUGUUGGUCAGGAUCAAAGGGAGAAAUCCUAAUACACUUGUCUCUCUUUUUUCUGUCUUUUUUUACUCUGCUUUGAAGACAAGAAGGCAAAACUCCAAUAAAUACACCAGAGAAAAAGAAACCAAACAAACCCACAAGGAUUUCUAAGCAUCACUGCAUUAAAAAAACUUUUGCAACUGUACUGAGGCAGAAGCAGAAAUGGAGGCUGUACAAAAUAACUACAGGUUGUGUCCAUAUGUGUAAAAAAAGGGAAGAGCACAUAUUUUGUGUUGCAAUGUGGCCCCAGAGGAUACUGCAUCACCGUCUCAGACUCUGUGUAUGACUCACACACUGUUUAUGCACAUCUGAACUGUAUACAUUUUAAUUUAUUGAGGAAGUUAACCAUACAGCCUACUGGAAAAGAAAAAGUCCAUUAUAAGAAACUGGGACUUGAAGAGCACUGGGACAGAGUCUGAGCAGACAGCUGACAAGAUAAUCGAGUGUUUGGUUCCAUAUGUCAUCCAAAAUUCAGGUGCUUAGGGCUCUAUAUAAAGUUAUGUUCUGGAGAAGUAAUAUAUACUGUAAAUAAAUCAAGGCAGGAUGAAUUAUUUAGGGUUUUUUUUCCUGAUAUUUAGCACAUUCACCAUCAAAUUUAGUGGAAGCAGCACUUUCUUAUCUUGGAAAAAAACUUGACUCUUCUCUAGCUCAGCUGUGAGACUAAUUGUAUCUGAAUUGUAUCCUAUAUAUAUAUAUGAUAUAUAGGAUAUUGUAUCCUAUAUAUAGGAUGCCAUGGACCGUUUGAACCCCUUUUUCCUCCUUGUGAUUUGAGGGGUCCGUGGGGGAGAGGGGUUGAUGAUAUCAUACUGCCAUCUGGUGACCACUGCCAGAAAAGUUAACCUCGAGGAGGAAACCCCAAAUCCCAAGUGAAGGAUUUAACUUGUAAGUGGGUGGGGAAGAGGCGAGAGAAAAAGGGCCAGGCAGCCUCCAGGACAGGGACACAUCGACAGCCGCCUCUGCCUCCCAGCCCGGAGCCCGGGCUGCCUCUCCUUGCCCACAGCUCCGUACAGAGCUGCUGUACAGGCUUGGCUUCAAAUUUAAUUAUCAGGAGAGCUCAUUCAUUCACUUACUAAGAGAACCUGAAUAUUCAGAGCAUAGGGUUUCUCUCUUUCUUUUUUUUUUUUUUUCUUUUUUUUUUUUUCUUUUAAGAGAGGCUUAAAUACAGUUUCCAUGGCAGUUAAUCCAACUUUGACCCAAAUUAAAUUUCAACGUCUAAAAAUUCAUUCAACCAGGGAAGGACAAUGCUUAGCCCUAUCUGAACGAGGCACAAGGCUGUGUGAGAACAUUUCUUCUCCCCUGUUUUGCUCUUUGCAGCAGGACCCUCUAUAAUUGUGAAGUCACUUGGUGCUGCUGAAACCCUCGCCGUGGUGCCGGCAGCAGCCCAGUUACCUUCCCAGGGAUCCUGUUCCUGCACGCUCAGGGCAUAAGGAUUUGGUGGCAUAUUGCAUCCUCACAAGGCAGAGCUAGGAAAGGCAACCAUUCAAAAAUAUCUUAUUUCAAAAUGAAGAUUAAUCCAUUUUGUGUCCUUCUGAGGAAAUAAUAUUCUCAUUGAUGCUCACUCUCAUAAAAUACUAUUUUAUGACACUAUCAGUACAAAACAAGUAAUUUAGGUAUUAUAGCAGUAUUUUAGAUGAUACCUACUAUCAAAGAUAGUAUCAAAGACUCUCUCACCAUAAUGGUGCUGAAGCACAAUAGAGCUUUUAUAAUAUAAAAGAACUUUCCCUACCUGUUAUCAUGCUGAUGGGAACACAGUCCCUGUUUCAGUUCUGCCCAUAGUGGCAAAUUACUUUUAACAUACUCUAUAUUUCAGUGAUAUCUAGUUAAGAUUUCAUUAUGACAUUUCAGUAUAAAAUAUAAUGUACAUUUCUACAAUGUUUUCCUAAAACAUUACCGUGGGUGAGAUUUUUCACAUUAACCACAAUUGCAGAAAUGACUGAUGUUUAAAUCUGAAGGCAAUUUUAGUCAUUAUUAAACUUCAUUAUAAAAUAAAGUACGUGGGUGGAAUUGUGGUUUGAUGCUUUUGUAAUUUGCUCUACCUUUUCAAUGUACUUUUCAGUUACAUUAACUGAAUCAUUUUGUCUUAUAGAUGCAAAGAUGAAGCAGAAGAACAAAAACAUGCCCAUUAACUGAAGCAGUGCAAAUGUGCAUAGUUAAUGGAAACCAUUUUGACAUUUUGUAUUUGAUUCCAUGGUGUGUCUACUCAAACAAUUUCAAUGGCAUAUUAGAACAAAAUGCUACAUUGUGCUCUUCACUAAGAAUGCAAGUAAUAGUCUUCAAAAAUUACCUUUCGACUGAAAGUAUUAUCUGUUGGAAAUGAAAUGUUUUACAUUAUGAAAGGCUAAUAGCAAUAAGGGGGAGCAAUGGGCUGCAGUGAGAAUUGAGGCAAAGAGGGUUUUUUGACCCUGUGUUUUCCCAAAUGCUUAUGUUCUUUCGCGUUAUGACAGAAUUGCUUAGAUAGUGACAUAAACUCAUCUGUUCAAUGGCAAUUAUUUCACCAUGCUACAAUUAAAAGCUUCUUAUGCAAGA
Molecule: non-coding RNA, 7642 nt
Organism: Taeniopygia guttata (zebra finch)
Lineage: Eukaryota; Metazoa; Chordata; Aves; Passeriformes; Estrildidae
Source: RefSeq, a predicted model, not a curated record